RNAcentral lists this ribosomal RNA (347 nucleotides) under Campyloneurus sp. RNAcentral's name for it is "partial 16S ribosomal RNA". Lineage: Eukaryota; Metazoa; Arthropoda; Insecta; Hymenoptera; Braconidae. The record is from RNAcentral.
GAAAUUUUUAAAUGGCUGCAGAAAUUUUACUGUACUAAGGUAGCAUAAUAAUUUGUUUUUUAAUUAAAAACUAGAAUAAAAGAUUUAAUGAAAUAUAAACUGUUUCAAUUAAAUUUAUAUUAAAUUUAUUAUUUAAGUAAAAAAACUUAAAUAAUUUUUUAAGACGAUAAGACCCUAUAGAAUUUUAUUUAUUAUUUUAAUUUUUUUUUUUUAAUAAAUUUUAUUGGGGUAAUAAAAAAAUUAAUUUAAUUUUUUUUUAAAAUUACAUAUUUAAAUGAAUUAUAUAUCUUAAAUUUUAAAUUAAAAAAAUCAAUUACCUUAGGGAUAACAGCAUAAUUUUUUUUGAA